UACGGAAGAGAAGAGAAGCUGAAGAAACCACUCGAUCACCACCUCACAUCAUUUACUCGAUCGCACCACUCGAUCGCAAGGUCGCUGGACCAUUCCAUCUCGUCUUCACUACAGACCACUCGAUCGCAAGACAGAGUUCCCGAAGCCCAGUUUGAUCAGUUUCACUCGAUCACAGGGAAGCCCAUUUCAGCCCAUCAGAUGCUUGAUCGCAAAGUCUUGUUGUGAAGACCACUAUCCCGAACUUUCCUUAUUUAACUUUUUUCGCUUAUAUAAGCAGCCUCUAAGGGUUUUCCCUAGGGCAUCCAGUUUUUAUUUUCAGUUUUUACCUAGACUCGUUUUGGUAGCCGCAGUGUGUUCUUCCUGCGACUUUGUAUUUGCUUUCAAGUAUUUUAUAAUUCAGUUUUUGUUUCACUCUUUAUCAUUUCUUGUUAUCAUGUUUUCUAUCGUUUCAUUGCUAUUGUUUUUGAUUAUGUCUGAGUAGUGAAGUGUAUUUCUGAGGAUGGGAUAGAGUGGUCGUGGUUGUCUUAGUCGAUUUAGAUGGUUGAGUUUAGAUUGUUUGAAUCCCUUCUGGAUUAGUUGCGCUUAUUGCUUGUUCCUUUCUGAUCAACUGGAAAAUGAAUCCAGACAUUCCCGCACCUAAAAGGUGUUUGAUGGAAUGUUUGAUCCACUAAUUCCAGAGAUACUCGUCUCUAUCCCAAGGUAUUGGCCGUUUAGAGCGGGUAUUGGCUUUAACAAGUUGAUUCGAUAUUGCCUGCUUAGUUAGAGAUCGCUAAUGGUGAUUAGGUCUGUGUCUAGCUCUGCUUGAGAAUUUCUAUCACGGUGGUGAAUUGAUUUGCUUUUGAACUUGUUGUCAAGGGAUAGCUUCUGUGAAGUUUUGUCAACCAUCUAAAUAGAUUAAGGAGACCACGCUAUUCGAUUACCCUGUCCUUAGGAAUCUCUCAUCCAUUUGAUUGCCUGCUAUUUUACCUGCUUUAUUAUUCAACUGCCUGCUAUUGCUAGUUUGCAUCUCGGUUUCAUUUCAUUUCUGUUAUUUCGCAUUAGGAUUGUUAGAAAACAACAACUCUCUGCUUGGCUUGACUUAGCAAAUUCUGAUCAUAUCUCAUCUGUUUGCAUCGCACUAGAUUGGAUUGAUACCCUAAAAUACUACGACGACACGAUAGUGUUUUAGGUUUAAUUGAUCUGAAAAGUCUAUUAUCAAUUUGGCGCCGUUGCCAGUUUAGUGUUUGUUUGCUAUAUUUGAGAUCAUUAGAAUCGUUAAGAUCAAGUUCGUUUUUGUUACACAAGAUACUGACAUUGUGUUUUUCUGUCUGUGUUUCAGGUACUCACAGCAACCAGCUUUACAGACUCAUCUUUGAUUGGUCUGCUAAAGCCUUGCUGUUACCUGUUAUAUGCAUACACGGUCAAGAGGAAAUCAGAAUCUCCUUUUCAACGAUAACAUCGACCGUAUCGCUCGCCAACUAAGAGAACAAAAAGCAACAGACACAAUGGCUGAUAUUGUAGAUGACCAAGACCAACCCAACAACAUUGGUGCUGGUGACUUCCCACACAAUCACAACCAGCGUCAUGGAAUUGUUCCUCCACCAGUCCAGAACAACAACUUUGAGAUCAAGAGCGGUCUCAUUGCAAUGGUUCACGGGAACAAGUUUCACGGCUUGCCAAUGGAGGAUCCGCUUGAUCAUCUUGACGAGUUUGAAAGGCUCUGUGGCCUUACUAAAAUCAAUGGAGUAAGUGAAGAUGGUUUCAAGCUUCACUUGUUUCCAUUCUCACUUGGAGACAAAGCCCAUCUGUGGGAAAAGACGCUACCCCGGGGUUCAAUCACGACCUGGGAUGACUGCAAAAAAUCCUUCUUGGCUAAAUUCUUCUCCAACUCCAGAACAGCAAGACUCCGGAAUGAGAUAUCCGGAUUCACUCAGAAGAAUGCUGAAACCUUCUGUGAAGCAUGGGAGCGCUUCAAAGGUUAUCAGACCAAAUGCCCUCAUCACGGCUUUGGAAAAGCUUCUCUUCUCAGCACACUCUACAGAGGCGUCCUUCCCAAGAUAAGGAUGCUACUUGACACCGCUUCCAAUGGGAACUUCCUCAACAAAGACGUUGGAGAAGGGUGGGAGCUCGUUGAAAACUUAGCUCAGUCGGAUGGCAAUUACAACGAGGAUUAUGACAGAAGCAUCCGCACUAGUACUGACACUGAUGACAAGCACCGCAAAGAGAUGAAAGCUCUCAAUGACAAACUUGACAAGCUCCUGCAAGUGCAACAGACGCAUGUUCACUUCGUCUCUGAAGAUGAACAAUUCCAAGUCCAAGAGGGGGAGAAUGAUCAGUCUGCUGAAAUCAGUUACAUUCAGAACCAAGGUGGCUACAACAACUACAGACCAAACCCGAAUCUGUCAUACAGAAGCAACAAUGUUUCCAACCCUCAAGACCAAGUUUAUCCUUCUCAGCAGCAGCAGCAACAACAACCCAAACCGUUUGUUCCAUACAACCAAGGUCAAGGGUUCGUUCCAAAGCAGCAGUUCCAGGGAGGAUAUCAAUAACAGCAACCACCACCUGGUUUCCCAUCACAGCAACAUCAAGCACCUUCGCCUCCGGAUUCUGAUAUAAAGAACAUGGUCCAACAGAUACUUCAAGGGCAAGCCACAGGAGCGAUGGAAAUUGCAAAAAAGUUGGCUGAAUUAAACAACAAAGUCGACCGCAAUUUCUGUAACCUUAACAACAAGUUUGAAUCAUUGAGUACUAGACUACGCUAUCUGGAAGCCAAUCCUAUUUCAACAUCCAUUUCCAACAACCCAGGCCAACUUCCAGGGAAAGCAAUCCAGAACCCAAAGGAGUAUGCCACUGCUCAUGCUAUCACUAUCUGCUAUGAUCGAGAGCUGCCAACUCGACAUGCCCUUAACUCAAUCACUGAGGGCAGUGUGGUUCAAGAGGGGGAGGAUUUUUGUCAAGAUGACGUUAUGGCUGACCAAACACUAGAGGAGCCCAUACUCGACAAGCAGUCUACUCGCCCACCAGCUUCACCAGUCGCUCCCACUGUUGAAAAACCAGCUGCUGCAAAGACCAAGGAUACAGUCUUGGUGCCACCACCUUACAAACCCCCGCUUCCAUUCCCUGGUCGAUUCAAGAAAGUGCUUAUUAAGAAGUAUCAAGCCCUCCUGGAAAAACAACUGAAAGACCUCGAAGUAACGAUGCCUCUAGUGGACUGUCUUGCACUAAUACCAGAUUCCCACAAGUAUGUGAAGGAUAUGAUCACGAAGAGAAUCAGAGAAGUUCAAGGAAAGGUGGUUUUGAGUCAUGAGUGCAGUGCAAUCAUCCAAACGAAGAUUAUUCCCAAGAAAUUGGGAGAUCCUGGUUCGUUUACCUUACCUUGCUCUCUAGGUCCUUUAGCCUUCAGUAACUGCCUCUGUGAUCUAGGUGCUUCUAUAAGUCUCAUGCCUCUCUCUGUGGCCAAUAGACUGGGUUACAGCAAGUAAAAAUCUUGCAACAUCUCCUUGAUCUUGGCAGAUAGGUCUGUUAGACUACCUCAUGGGUUAUUAGAAGAUUUGCCUAUAAGGAUUGGAAAUGUUGAAGUGCCCACAGACUUCAUAGUGCUAGAAAUGGAUGAAGAACCAAAAGAUCCUUUAAUCAUAGGAAGGCCCUUCUUAGCAACAGCCGGAGCAGUCAUAGAUGUUAAAAAAGGGAAGAUUGAUCUUAAUCUUGGAAAAGAUUUUAAGAUAAAGUUGGACAUCAAUGAUGCUAUAAAGAAGCCGACAAUAAAAGGACAAACCUUCAUGGUUAAGGAAAUGGAUCGGCUAGCUGAUGAACUGCUAGAGGAGCUUGCUGAUGAAGAUCGCCUUCAAACUGCUUUAACAAAGAGUGGUGAAGCUGGGUAUCUCCCAAGUGAGACCUUUAGCUCUGAGAACUUAUUAGACUCACGCAAGGCAACAACUGGAUCAGAUGUCAUUGAGGGUUUGAUUGCGUCAGAAAAAAAUGGUAUGGCAGCAAUUGAGGCAAGCUCGCCCCAUAACCGACCUGCUGACUUGACCGUCUACUCGAGUAAUCCUUUAACUCGCCCACAGAGCUCAUGCUCGACAAAACUGCUUAAUCAGAAGCUAGAGUCUCACAAUUUUGCAUCAGACGAUUGGUUAAAACUCAUGGAGAGGUCUAAAUGGCAGGACAAAGCCAUAAGGGAGUUAACAGACACUGUGAGAAAUCUAAAGGAUCAAGUCAAAGUGCUCCAUGGGAAAGCCAACCAAGGACCACUCAAUAUCAAGGACGUACCAAAUGAUGAAGCCAUUGCUCUGGUUAGCAAAGAAAAAAAUGAAUUCACAUUUGAUUGGUCUAUAGAAGAAGACUAUCCGGAUGAUCAGAAAGAAGCUUACUUUAAAGAAUCGGCCAUUGAGUACUCAGUUGCAGACUUGUCAAGAGAGCAUGCUGAGUUUGAUGAUCCAUCUACUGGGGAAGAAGAGGAGGCCGCAUUUCAUCUCCACAAACCUCCCUAGGCCUAAUAAGUGUGAGGAGUCAAGCUAGAGACUUAAAACAAGCUCACUUGGGAGGAAGUCCCAUGACUAUCCUUGUAUAUAGUUUUUAUUUUCUUGUUGUUUUUGAUUUGUGUUGGUAGUGUUUUUUUAGUUCUCAAGAGGCGUAAUUGUCAAGAGCAGUAACAGAAGAAAUAUGGUGAACACACUCGAUCGCAACGUCGGGGUAUCAUUGAUGCCUUGCGAUCGAGUGCUUUGGUUUAGGGGAAGGCUACAGUUCGAAAUUUUUAUUGAACAUACUCGAUCACGAGAUCGCAUGAACGCCGUGCUCCACAACCUGCUGGGGUUGCAAUUGAGCACGAUGAUGAGGAGAUGGCGGAAGCGCAGCUAGGACCUGUCAUGCCUACGGAUUACACUCAAGCGGAGAUGGAUGACUACAUCUCCAGGCAAUUUUCCUGAGGUAACACACCAAAAAACAAUUGUAAAUACCGUUUUUGUUUUUGUUUCUUGUGUUUAUCUUGAAUUCUUUCACAAAUUUUUAUUACACAAGGGACUGUGUAAUUUAAGUUUGGGGGAGGGUUCAAGACGUAUUUGACUUAUUUUUUGUGAAUAUCAUUUGAGUCUGCAUAUCAUCUAAAACAUAGAAAAAAAACAAAAAAAUUUGAAAAUUUCUGAAAAUGUGUUCCACAAAAACAGAGUGCUCAUGUAGCUGCAUUGCAUUUAGGAUCGAGUCUAGAGUGUUUCAUUUAGGAUUGUUGCAUAUGCAUAGGGGAUAAUGAGGAAAUAACCUUGUAAGCAUGUUGAUUUACUGAAUAAACUCAAUGCCCUCGUUACUAGUUGUCUGAUGCAUUUGAAUGACUUUGAAGUAAAACUGCACCAUGUUCUAUAGAAACCACUCGAUAGCAUGUCAUGAAACCUUUCCCUGUCAAUUUGAACUUGAAUCUGACUUAUAAUUAUCAUGUUUGCAUCGGUUUUGAACUCGUGGAUAGAAUACAUACUUGGAUUUUCUUUCACUUAUUCACCACUCUUGUUAAUCCAAGUAGCUGCUUCUGUUAUUGGAGUAGUUUCCCCACCCUUAACCAACCCUUCUUUCAAGCCAUGUUAUUUGUGAGAGCAUGUGAGGCCUAUUUCAGGAUUGAGCUUGGUAGAACGUGUUAGGUUUGAGCCGACAAGAGUAGUAUCUCAUGUAGUUCCAAUCCGCAUUUUCGGACUUGGUAGGACUAGGUGGGAACUUAUUUGGGAUUGAGAUUGAGUGUGAAAAGAAAAAAGAAAAAAAACGGGUUAAAGUCUUUAGGAGAAGGAAGUUGAAAAUCAUACUCAGGUCUAGUGAAUAUUUGGGAAGUAAAGAAUUGUUAAGUUAUGCUCUAAAAAAAAAAAAAAAAAAAAAAAAAAAAAAAUGGCAACAAAAACAGAAAAGAUUAUAAGAGCCAUAAGAGUUUAAGAAAAACCAAUUCACUAGACUAGACUCAUAGAGUAUAAGAAAGUUUCUCCUUAAGAACAAGAGCCAAAGAAAAGAAAAGACAGAUUGAUCCAAGAAAAAUAUCGAAAUAUGCCUUUAGUGCAAAAGGGUAGACUUAGGAUCAUCAAUGGGUUUAGAAAUAGGACCAUCUACUUGUUAUUCACAGUUUAUGUCAUUGGGUAGAUGGGAUGCUAUUCUUGUAUGCAUAGGUUGGCACUUACCUUUAGCAUUCUUCUAAAGCUCAGUCUAUUCUUAUUGAGAGUCCGCUGUUAUUAAAAUCUGAACCACCUUAAAGGGACCAUCUUUGUCUCAUAACCUGUCCUUAGCCAAACGAGUUCACUAACGUUGCACAGCUUGAUUCAUGAUUUUGAACUUAAUGAAUGUUAAAGGGAUUGGUUGAUUUUGACGCAUUAUGCAAUUGAGUGUGAGUUGGAUCUUGACAGAGCAUGGCUAAAGUUUUUGAGUAGAAGUCGUUCACCACGCAUCUUAGAACUAUUAACUUGGACAUUGAGCUUAAUUACUUCAUCACAUGUUUUGGUUCUGAGUCCCCAACUUCAAACCUCUCCUCCCGCUUAUGUUUUCUUGUUUGCUUGAGGGCAAGCAAAGACUAAGUUUGGGGGAGUUGAUAUGUCUAUAAUUUGCAUGAUUUAAGCAUUCAUUCUUCAUCACUUUGUCAUUGUUUCAAUCACAUUUCAUCUCAUUAGUAGUCGUUUUAGUGUGUUUUGCAUACUUAGGACGUUUUUGCAUUAGGAUUGCAUGUGCAUUGCAUAUUUGGUUGUUUUCAGGUACUUUGGAUGCUUUUGGAGUUCAAACAGAGGAGAAACAGAACAGAAAUUCAGAACGCUCAAUCACUCCCUCAGCCAAAGCACUCGAUCGCAACCUCGGAGCCCUGACAGAGCAAAGCACUCGAUCGCAACCCCAGAAACUGUUAUGAAGGGCAAAACCACUCGAUCACAACCCCGGAGCAAUUUCAGAAGAAACCACUCGAUCGCAAGAUCGAGCAGAAGCUGUCAUGAAGGACAUAUCACUCGAUAACAACCCUGGAGAAGCCAGCAGCUUAGUUUCACUCGAUCGCAAGCUCGGAGGGAUCACCCACUCUACACCACUCGAUCACCACCUUGUCAUCAGAAGCCCAUCUACUCAUUCCUCACUCAACCAGACAAGCUGAGCAUACGGAAGAGAAGAGAAGCUGAAGAAACCACUCGAUCACCACCUCACAUCAUUUACUCGAUCGCACCACUCGAUCGCAAGGUCGCUGGACCAUUCCAUCUCGUCUUCACUAUAGACCACUCGAUCGCAAGACAGAGUUCCCGAAGCCCAGUUUGAUCAGUUUCACUCGAUCACAGGGAAGCCCAUUUCAGCCCAUCAGAUGCUUGAUCGCAAAGUCUUGUUGUGAAGACCACUAUCCCGAACUUUCCUUAUUUAACUUUUUUCGCUUAUAUAAGCAGCCUCUAAGGGUUUUCCCUAGGGCAUCCAGUUUUUAUUUUCAGUUUUUACCUAGACUCGUUUUGGUAGCCGCAGUGUGUUCUUCCUGCGACUUUGUAUUUGCUUUCAAGUAUUUUAUAAUUCAGUUUUUGUUUCACUCUUUAUCAUUUCUUGUUAUCAUGUUUUCUAUCGUUUCAUUGCUAUUGUUUUUGAUUAUGUCUGAGUAGUGAAGUGUAUUUCUGAGGAUGGGAUAGAGUGGUCGUGGUUGUCUUAGUCGAUUUAGAUGGUUGAGUUUAGAUUGUUUGAAUCCCUUCUGGAUUAGUUGCGCUUAUUGCUUGUUCCUUUCUGAUCAACUGGAAAAUGAAUCCAGACAUUCCCGCACCCAAAAGGUGUUUGAUGGAAUGUUUGAUCCACUAAUUCCAGAGAUACUCGUCUCUAUCCCAAGGUAUUGGCCGUUUAGAGCGGGUAUUGGCUUUAACAAGUUGAUUCGAUAUUGCCUGCUUAGUUAGAGAUCGCUAAUGGUGAUUAGGUCUGUGUCUAGCUCUGCUUGAGAAUUUCUAUCACGGUGGUGAAUUGAUUUGCUUUUGAACUUGUUGUCAAGGGAUAGCUUCUGUGAAGUUUUGUCAACCGUCUAAAUAGAUUAAGGAGACCACGCUAUUCGAUUACCCUGUCCUUAGGAAUCUCUCAUCCAUUUGAUUGCCUGCUAUUUUACCUGCUUUAUUAUUCAACUGCCUGCUAUUGCUAGUUUGCAUCUCGGUUUCAUUUCAUUUCUGUUAUUUCGCAUUAGGAUUGUUAGAAAACAACAACUCUCUGCUUGGCUUGACUUAGCAAAUUCUGAUCAUAUCUCAUCUGUUUGCAUCGCACUAGAUUGGAUUGACACCCUAAAAUACUACGACGACACGAUAGUGUUUUAGGUUUAAUUGAUCUGAAAAGUCUAUUAUCAAUCUCUUCCCUAAAAUUAUUCAUAUAUACGUAUAAACACAUAUUACAAGAUGUAAUGAUGAGGUUGCAUUAAUUAAAGUGGGCAAUAGUCAUGUCUAAACUUUUUUGGCAUUUAAUCAUGAUGGCACAUAGUUUUUUUAAUGUUAUUAAGCCUCCAUUUUCACUGUACAGCUGCAAAAAACAAAUAAAAACAAAAAUAUAUGACCCUAACUAAACAUUGUACAUAACAGAACCGCGUAACUGAACCGCGUAACUGAACCGCGUAACUGAACCGCGUAACUGAACCGUACACGAAACAGUACAUCGUUACGUAAGCAAGGGUAUUUUGGUCAGAAUUUGGCUGAAUUAUCAUAACGUGAGAGGUGACGCUCACUUUGCCAAACCGUUAAAAUAAAACAUGGUCUUAUGCCCUGUCUCGUUAAUUAUAAGGAUUUUAUCCCUGUCGUAGUGAUUUGGGUUUUCCCUGUACGAUUCAUAUCGCUUCAAGACUUCAUCAUCUGUGUUAAUCGAAGAAAUAAACGGCUUUUGUGUUUCUUGGUUCACACUUGUCUGACUCGUCUUCUCUGUUUCCUUGGAUGGCAAGAAAGAAGAAUCUUGAGGUCUCUCUCAUUAUUCUUGACUAGUGCGUGCUCGAUUCUGAAGACAUAUGGAUGUCGAGUUACAGGAAGAUCCUUUGGAGCACAGGAGAGAGCUGUAUGCGGGAAGCUGCGAGACAUAAAAUGAUGAUGACGUGGCAAGCUGCGAUUGGUGACUGGAGUUUCCAGAACGUGAGAAUCAAGUUAUUCAAGAUAUAUGCAAAUCAAGGAAAAAAGAUUUGAAGAUAUCUUAGAAUAGGAAAUUAGGUUAGCUGCGUUUGUGUGGCUACCUAUAUAUUGGUAGUCUAAGCGUUAGGCUUAGGUUGGCCAUCGUUUAUCAUCUCUGUGAAUCACAAGUUCUAGGCUAGAAGCUGUUAGGGUUCUUGGUGAGUGAUCAGAGUGUCCAGCAUAGUUGUUGCUGUGUUUGUGAGAUUGGGUAGAUUAGGAAUUGGUUAGUGACGAGUUGUGUCAACGUCGUGUAAAUCAGAUUAAACAGAUCUAUUAGAUUGUUUAAGUGAUUCCUAAUAAAGAAAAGAGGUUAUUUUCAAUCCCAACGACAUCUACGUUAUAACAUUUGGUAUCAGAGCAGGUGACCGACCUGAGUGCUGACUCAACACAGGCUAAGAUCCUGCGUGUAACACUCCGGUUUCAGGAAUAUGGUGGUGCAUGCGGAGAGGUUUAAAAGAAUUGAUUUGGCUACCUAUGUCACCAAAGUGCACUUAUCUUUUCGGUCAACUGUCCUGAAAGAACUCCACAGUUAAGGGUGCUUGAGCUGGAGCAAUUUCAGGAUGGGUGACCUUCCGGGAAGUGAUUGUCGGAAAUAUGUGAGUGAGGACAAAACACAGAGAAAGAUCAUGUGGUGAUUUGUAGGGUCGGUAAACAAGUCUUUAAAGCCUUCCGGACGUAACGGAUUGGCCGUCGAAAGUGGUGGGACUGCAGGCCCGAGAGAGGACGUGGGGCCCAUUAAGAGAAUUGGCGGUCGGGGCGUUACAAGUGGUAUCAGAGCCGAACCCAGACGAGUGUGGAGUCAAGAGGGCUCACACCGUAGGGGGUGACGGUCUUGGUGCGCAACGAGGACGUUGCGAUCUGUUAGUGGGGGUGAAUUGUAACACCCCGGUUUCAAGAAUAUGGUGGUGCAUGCAGAGAGGUUUAAAAGAAUUGAUUUGGCCACCUAUGUCACGAAAGUGCACUUAUCUUUUCGGUCAAUUGUCCUGAAAGAACUUCACAGUUAAGGGUGCUUGAGCUGGAGCAAUUUCAGGAUAGGUGACCUUCCGGGAAGUGAUUGUCGGAACUGUGUGAAUGAGGACAAAACACAGGAAAAGAUCAUGUGGUGAUUUAUAGGGUCGGCAAACAAGUCUUUAAAGCCUCCCGGACAUAACAGACUGGCCGUCGAAAGUGGUGGGCCUGCGGGCCCGAGAGAGGACGUGUGGCCCAUUAAGAGAAUUGGCGGUCGAGGCGUUACACUGCGGAUUACAGAUGUCGAAGACAAAACUCCAGAGACCAGUGAUGUUGGACCACAAAGGCUACGGCUACUGGAAAACACGGAUGAUGCAGUUAAUGAGAGGGCUGGGUGAAGACGCCUGGACUGCAAUUGAAGAUGGUUGGGAAGCUCCGUUCAGCACAACCGAGGCAGGUAUGAAGGUGAAGAAACUAAAAGCAAACUGGAAUGAUGCAGAGAAGAGUCUGUCCAAAUUUAAUGCAAGGGCCAUGAAUACUAUCUACUCAUGCCUUGAUGAUAAUGAAUUCAAUCUGGUUCAAAGAAGUGAGUCUGCUAAACAGAUGUGGGAUAUUCUACAAAAAUCACAUGAAGAAAAAACUAGUGUAAAACGCACCAGGUUAGAUCAAUUGGCUACAGAUUUUGAAAAUCUGAAGAUGGAUCCUGCAGAGACGAUUGUUCAGUACAGAUCCAAACUGAGUGGUAUUGCUAAUGAAGCGAAGACAUUGGGAAAAAUAUAUAAAGAGAAGAAAUUGGUGAAGAAACUGCUUUGUUGUCUACCACAGAAGUAUGCUGCACACAAGGCUGUCAUGAGGUUAUCAGGUAACACAGAUACUCUUAAAUAUGAAGACCUGCUUGGGAUUCUGAAGUCUGAUGAAAUGGAAGUUGUUGAAUAUCAACAAAAUCUGAACAAAGGAAUAGCAUUCAAAGCUGAUGAAGAAAAAGGCCCAGAUCCGCUGCAAGAAAUUAGAGACAACAUGUCUCUCAUAACCAGAAACCUUGGAAAAGCUCUGAAACAUGUAGAAAGAGGUUAAAACAGGGAAUCCAACCGUUGGAACAAGGGUGAUGCAGGAAAGUUAGGCAACAUGUCUGAUGCAAAAAAGUCAGGCAACAGGUCUGAUGCGAACGAAACAUCAGGAAGAAGGCAUGAUCUAAAAUGUCAUGAGUGUGGAGGUAUGGGACAUACCAGACCUGAAUGUCCUGUAGCAAAACGUAAGGAUAUGAAGUGCUAUGAGUGUAAUGGUGUUGGACACCUGAAAUCUGAAUGUCCAAGUGCAUAGAAAGUCAAAGAGAAGUCUUUUCUGAGUCUUAGUAAUUCUGAAUCAGACAGUGAUGAUGCAACAGAAGUUAUACUGAAUUUUGUUGCAUUCAUCGUUAAGGAUGACGACAAAUCAGGCAGUGAGGACUCUGAUUCAGAUAAUGAUGGAGAGCUGAUCACAAGCGACAACUACCGCACCCUAUAUGACAGUUGGGUACUGCUGAGCAAUGAUAAGCUGCAGCUCACUAAGGAGAAUCUGAUGCUUAUGGCAAAAGUGAACAUGUUAGAAGUAGAAGCCAAAGAAGAGAAAGUUGGUGAAAAGCUACCUUUGCCUGAGAAGCAAAUUUUUGAGAAAAAGAUGAAUCUCUUUCAAGAAGGUUAUGAGAAAGAGAAAGAAAAAUCUCUUAUGCUGGAAAGAAAACUGAGUGAAAACCACAAGAAAAUCCGAAUACUGAACAGUGGUGGUAAAAAUCUUGACCAGAUUCUUUCCAUGGGAAUAGUUGGAUCAAGCCACAAAGGUUUGGUGUAUCAGCCCUAUGCUCCCAAAGCAUCCCUGGAUGUGUCUAAGACUGUCCAGUUUGUGAAGAGUACAACCUAUCAUGGAGAAGAUGCUCAAGGAGUGAAAACAGUAGAGUAGAAACAGCAAUCCAGAAAGACAAACCAAGAUGCUUCACAAAAUGCGGCUGUAAAAUACAGGAAGGCAGAACCCAGAAAGAAGUGGACCAGGUCCAACAGAGGUCGAAGAGUGUUUGAUUGCUUCUACUGUGGAAAACCAGGUCAUACCAGAAACUUUUGUUACAAGUUUCAAGACAAGAUCAAGCAAUUGUGGCAGGCACGUAAAUGCUUUAUUGAUCCUUCUAAGUUCUGUAAAGUCUGGGUUUGCAAGAGAGAUCUGUACAACAAAGAUCCUGAGCAUGAUGAAGAAAAGUACAACAGAGCAGUUGCUGAAUCUAAAGGAAUCAGCUUGACCUGUAAUGUGACCAUUGCACAACUUGAUGAGUCUGAUGAAGAUGAGAGUCUCACAGAAAAGGUAGCCUACACAUCUACAGAUGGAACUGCAAGUAACCCUUGGUACUUUGACAGUGGCUAUUCAAGACUUAUAACAGGUGAUCUGAAUGUUCCGUCAACCUUCACAGAAGAGGCCUGCGAAAAAGUAACAUUUGGAGAUGGUGGUAAAAGAUGCAUAAAAGGCAAAGGAAACAUUGAAGGUGAUGAUCAACCAUCAUUAAUAAAUGUGUUCUAUGUUGAAGGCUUGAAAGUUAAUCUAAUCAGCAUAAGUUAGUUGCGCGAUGAUGGUCUGAAAGUGAUCUUCACAAGAACUGACUGUAAAGCUGUUGAUGAGAAUGGAAAUACUGUACUGUGUGGGGUUCGCUCUGGGAAUAACUGCUACAUAUGGAAGGCAUCAGAUGUCUGUCUAUCUUCAUCUGCAUCAGACUUAAAGCUGUGGCACAAGAGACUUGGACAUAUGAACGUCCAGAAUCUGGUUAAAAUUGUGAACGCUGGAGUGGUUCGAGGUGUACCAAAACUGGUUGACAAACUGGAGUCUUUGUGCAGUGCAUGUAAUAAAGGAAAGCAGAUCAAGGUCAAUCAUAAGAAGGUACCUGAAAUUGAAACUAAAAAUGUACUUGAGCUGAUUCAUAUGGAUCUCAUGGGUCUAGUACAAGUGGAAAGUAUCAAUGGGAAGAAGUACAUCUUUGUGUUGGUAGAUGAUUUUUUAAGGUACACAUGGGUUCAGUUCCUAAGAGAGAAGUCUGAACCAGUGGAAAGUUUUAAGAUUCUUGCCCUACAACUUCAGAAUGAAAAGGGAAGGAUCAUUCAGAUAAGAAGUGAUCAUGGUGGAGAAUUCCAAAAUGAGUUUUUUGAACAGUUCUAUAAAACUCAAGGAAUCAGACAUCAGUAUUCAGCACCCAGAACACUUCAGUAUAAUGGAGUUGUUGAACGGAAAAACAAAAUACUGCAGGAAACGGCUCGUGCUAUGAUACAUGGUAAAACAUCUCUCAAGGUUUCUGGGCAGAAGCAGUUAGCACAGCAUGCUACAUUGUCAACAGGGUUUAUGUAAAACCUGGAACAAAGACCACUUCAUACGAGAUAUGGAAGGGAAAAAGUCUGAAUCUGAGCCAUUUUCGUGUAUUUGGAUGUGUUUGUUAUAUUCGUAAUGACAAUGAGCACUUUGGAAAAUUCGACUCUAGAAGUGAUGAGGGAAUUUUCUUGGAAUACUCUACAAACAGCUCAACAUACAGAGUGUACAACAAGAGGACCAAGUACAUUGUUGAUACUGACAAUGUGGUCUUUGAUGACAAAAAUAUAUUUCUGUUACCUCAUGUACUAGACGAGUUCAUAGAAGAACCUGUAGUAGACGAGUCUACAGAAGCACCUGUAGCAGACAAGUCUACAGAAGCACAUGCAGCUGUCGAGUCUACAGAAGCACCUACAGCUGACGCACCUAAAACAGUUGUUGAAGAAAAAGUCAAUGACAGAGAAGUAUCAUCUGAGACACAGUCACCUGUUGCACCUUUUGCGACAAAGAAGCUAGUUGUUCAUAAGAAUCAUUCAGCUGCUGAUGUGAUAGGAAAUCUGAAUGAAAGAACGACCAGAGGUGUUCAGCUUAACUUCCAAGAAAUGCUGCAGUACUCGUGUUUUGUGUCUUUAGUUGAACCCAAGAAUAUUGUUGCAGCUCUUGAAGAUGAAUUCUGGUAUGGUGCAUGUACAGAGGAACUAAAUCAGUUUUCCAGAAAUGAAGUGUGGGAUCUGGUACCUCGACCUGUACAGGUAAAUGUUUUGGGCACAAAAUGGAUAUUCAAUAACAAGAUUGAUGAAGAUGGGAAUGUGACCCGCAACAAAGCUCGUCUGGUUGCACAAGGAUACUCCCAAGUAGAAGUUAUCGAAUUUGAUGAGACUUUCACUCUUGUAGCACGUCUUGAGUCAUUUAGAUUGCUCCUUGAAAUUGCAUGUGUGCUGAACAUCAAGUUGCAUCAGAUGGAUGCAAAGAGUACAUUUCUGAAUUGGUCUGCUCCAAGAAGAAGUAUAUGUUGCCCAGCCUAAAGGAUUUGAAGAUUCUCACUUUCCUGAGUAUGUAUACAAGCUGAAGAAGGCGCUCUAUGGAUUGAAGCAGGCUCCACUUGCUUGGUAUGAAAGACUGACUCAAUUUCUGGUAGACAAUGGAUUUAACAGAGGCCUGUAGACAAGACUCUGUUUAUCUAUAACUCUGGAUCAGACAUUCUGGUUGUCCAGAUCUAUGGAGAUGAUAUUGUAUUUGGAAGCACCAGAACAGAACUACUCAACAAGUUUGUCCAGACAAUGACUAAGCAGUUCAAAAUGGGCAUGGUCAGAGAGUUGAAUUACUUCUUGGUUUUACAGAUUACACAAUCUUUCGAGGGUAUGUUCAUCUCCCAGAGCACAUAUGCGAAGAAUCUCAUCAAGUGGUUUGACCUGCAAACCAGCAAGACAGCACGCACUCCCAUUAGUACAGCCUCAAAGCUGUGAGAUUACAAGUGCAAUUGAUAUCACAAAAAGUCCUGUUCAACACACUCGCACUAAGCACAUUGAUGUUAGGCACCAUUUCGUUAGAGAAAUAAUUGAAGGGAAACUUGUUGAAAUUCAUUAUAUUGCUACUGAGAAACAGCUGGCUUAUAUCUUUACUAAACCACUUGAUUUGAGAACUUUCAGAAAUUUGUAAAAGUCACUUUGUAUUUGUGAACACUGAACACUGACCUGCUUUGUCACUAAGGGAUUAUUGUAACAGGAUCACUACACAGGAGUACAUCAGUUUUUUAAUCCCUUGGUUACUGUGCUGUAGACUACAGCCUGUACAUAACAAGAAAAAUCUCCUAUUGGCAACUUCACUCAGAAAAAGAGCUGCUCUUCAUAUCUGGCUUCGAAGAUGUUCAACAGAGAUGGCUUUCUCGUUUGCAUAUCAAUCUUGAUCACUAAAAAAAAAGAAAGAACAAGAAACAAAGGAAUGAAAAGAUGAGAUAAUUUUCUUUUGAGUAAAGGGGUAGGAAAAUUUCCAAUAACCUCAUUAUUUUACUUUGAAAGGAAUGAUCACACAAAGGUUAGAAGCGAUGUUAGGAAAAUUUUCCGUGAUACCAUUAUUCGCCUACACCUUUGACAACUAUUAAAAAAAAAAAAAAAAGGGGAGAAAGCUGUCUCGAAAAUAUCAUCUGGUUGGGUAUGCAGAUGUGUAGACUAGUCUGAGUGAAGCAGUGUGUGUGAAAACUCCUCAUCUGAGAAAUAGCUACCUCACUGAGCUGGUGGGUUGAACCUGUUUUGAGUUCGUUGUGCUUGCUCAUGUGCACAUCAUGUUGCUUCAUAAAAUUUGUGUUCAAAGGUAUGUUGUGGGUGCAUCUACUGAGUGACAACCCAAUGAAUCUAACACUUAAAAGUUGUUUCUUGGUUAGCAUAUCUGGAUCUUUAACAUGGUCACUUCCUGUUCUCUGUCUACUUAAUUAAUGGAUGCACGUUUUUCUGUAUACAACAGAUUAUGUUUGUGUAACAUAGAGUGUCUUGUUUAAAUUGCAGAUGGAAUAUCUUUUGCCAAGCUCAAUUUUUGUCUCACCGGUAAACACCGGUUAUGUGUACUAAUGCGAUUUGUGAGUCUUUGAUGCAAUUUCAGGGUUUGUCAUUUGACACUGCCUCUCCUGUCCUGGAAUGUCUUGAGUCUGUUUUUACAUGAAUAUGCACCCAAGCAGGGGGAGAAUAUGGUGAUCUGUAGGAUCUGUGAGUAAGUGGGAGCAAAUGCUUCUGAUGCUCUGGAGCUUGAGGUGUCACAUUCAAGUAAAAAGGGGGAGAUUGAAGACAUAUGGAUGUCGAGUUACAGAAAGAUCAUGUGGAGCACAUGAGAGAGCUGUAUGCGGGAAGCUGCGAUUGGUGACUGGAGAACGUGAGAAUCAAGUUAUUCAAGAUAUAAGCAAAUCAAUGAAAAAAAAAUUGAAGAUAUCUUAGAAUAGGAAAUUAGGUCAGCUGCGUUUGUGUGGCUACUUAUAUAUUGGCAGUCUAAGCAUUAGGCUUAGGUUGGCCGUCUUUUAUCAUCUCUGUGAAUCACAAGUUCUAGGCUAGAAGCUGUUAGGGUUCUUGGUGAGUGAUCAGAGUGUCCAGCAUAUAUGUUGAUGUGUUUGUGAGAUUGGGUAGAUUAGGAAUUGGUCAGUGACGAGUUGUGUCAACGUCGUGUAAAUCUGAUAAAACAGAUCUAUUAGAUUGUUUAAGUGAUUUCUAAUAAAUAAAAGAGGUUCUUUUCAGUCCCAUCGACAUCUACGUAAUAAGAGAUUCUUCUUCGUAGGAGAUAUUGGAUCGUCGUGGAGAGACAUAUCUGUUUCCUUGGAUCGCAAGAAAGAAGACUCUUUAGUGAUCUUUCGGUUCUUCUUCGUCUCUUCGUCGGAGAGAAUUAUCGUUAAAACGAGUUUAGGGAGAGUAGUGACACCGCAAGUGAUUAGAAUAGUUAUAUAUAUAGACAAAUAAAUAGUUCUCUAAUAUUUUUUUUCCUUCUUUAAUUUUUUUUUGUCAACGUUUUUCGUCUUUAAUUUGUUAAGCAAUUUUAUGGGUAUGCCUUUAAAUACAGAGACGUAUUUGUUAUUUGAAUGAGAAAAAUAUGUUGAAACAAAGAGAAUAUGAUUUUCAUGAUUAUUUUUACAACACCUAAAAACAAAAAUAAAGUAAUUUAAUUGAUUCAUUCACUAAAUGCCCUAUUUAAUUAUUGUUUUCACAUUGAGUCAAAGUAAUAUAUAUAUAUAUAUAUAUGUAUAGAUUAGGAUCCGCCCGAUGUGCGGGUUUCAAAAUUUUUAAAUUAAAUUAAGUUUAACAAAAAAAACAUAUUUAACUUUUUAUUGUGAAUAUAAACUAUUUUAAGAAAUAAGAAGAUAAAAUUUUAAUUAGAUUGAAGAUUAGUUUUUUUUUUUUCCCGGCAAAAACAGACUUCCAUUGACUUAAAAGAGUUAUUACAAAGACUUUAACAGAAUUACUAGAACAUAAUUAUUACAUACGCAAAUGUAUGUGCCAUACACUAAGAAAAAUACAGCAGAAGAAAGAUUGACGAUGCUUUCCGAAGAGUAGUCUUACUCGCUAACCGACCAUAAGAUCCAUUAUUGGCCAACUUUAUAUAUGAUUUUUCUUUGUUACGAUUGGCAUGCAACAACUUGUGGCUGAACUUUCUUUUUGCAAACCGUAACUUUAAACCCGAUGUGUCCUUAAAUAAUUCUGAAAUGUAGACACAGUGAUACUAAAGCUUCCGUACCAAAGUCUUUCUUAAAAAACUCGACUUUGUAAUUUUCUUUAACAUAAUCACAAAUAAAUUUACUGUAGUCGAAGUAGGUUCGACUAUAAUAUCCUUUGAAAAGAUUGCCUUACCAUAUUCCAAAAAAUCCCUAAAUCUUACCCGAAAGAAACAUAGGCCUUGACACAACAACAUUUUCAUGGUCACUUCUGUUGAAGAAACAACAAGUGAUGCGUUUGAUCCCACGACACAAUCAACGUCAUCAUCAUUGAGGUUGGAUUUUACACUAAUUUUAAAACCAAACAAACCAUUGGUAUUCCUUGAAGUAUUAAAAUUGUUGAAAAUCACCAAUUGAAGCGGUGGGCUUGGCCAAUAUUGAUGAAGCCCAUUGACAUUUGAAAAAAGCAACAAGACAAAUUCAUCAUUCUUCUCCACCAAGCAUCCGAGCAAGAGGAUUCUGAACGCGUUCAUAUAGUCGUGUGAAAUUUACUCUUGCACGCGCCGCCGUCUUCCUUCUCGUCACUCUCUCUCCAUGAAUCUCCACAAAGAGAUUUUUGUUGAUAAAACCUGACUUAUUUCUUCUAAUGGAUAUGAAAUCAUGUCGUAUCCGUCCAUUAACACAAUUGCCCAUACCGAUCUUGUGCAUAUAUUCCACUGUAUAUCUCGCUGAUGCAUUCCAUAACCACCAAAUCCAACCAAUAUUAAUCAAAUCAUGUGGCCAAAACUUGACUAUGUCUAUAAUGGACUUCAAAAACUGAAUCCGAUUAUGAUCAAAUUGAUGCAUCCGUAGUUUCAUCACACAAACAGUAGAAUCACAAUUGAUUACUCCAGGAUCCCAUAUCCGAAAUUGAUUUCCAAUUCCUGAAUUGGAGAGAUUCAUCUGAGAAACACCGUUCGAAGAAGGAAAGAAGCCGACACCAUAACACUUGAGUUUUAUUGGGAGAUAUGAGAUUGUAUAUUAUUGUAUUUCCUUAUUUUCGGGAUUCUAAAGAGAUCUUACUUGAUCCCCAAGUUCUAGAGAGAUCUUACUUGAUCCCCAAGUUAUAACUCUAUGUAUAAAUAUAGACGUGUAAUCGUUUGUGAAUAAUAAGAGAAGAACACAUUAAACCUAGCCGUCUCUUAUUCUACAUGGUAUCAGAGCCUAGGUCCUAAUCUCUUUGUUUUUAUCUUCUUCACUUUCUAAAUCUUUGAUUAAGAUCACUUGUUUGGUGCUAUGUCGACGGGAGAAGAUGGAAGAGCUAUUGUCCCUAAGCCCUCUGGUUCAAGUGAGAGCCAGACCUGCGCUUUUUCCUCAUCGGACAACCCAGGUUCGAUGAUCUCCUAUGUUCAGUUGACGGGAGAGAACUACGCGGAGUGGGCUACAGAGAUGAUGAAUGCUCUUAAGGCAAAGAGGAAGACCGGGUUUGUUGAUGGCUCAAUCGUGAAGCCGAUGGCUGCAGGUUUGGAGUUGGAGACGUGGACCAACGUGAACUCGAUGGUGGUAGGGUGGCUGAGAACUUCUAUCGUGCCUCGGAUCAGAUCCACGGUGUCAUUCAUCUCUGACGCAGCUGAGUUGUGGGAAAGCUUGAGAAAAAGAUUUUCUGUUGGAAACAAAGUUCGAACCAUCAGAUUGUCUCUCUCAUAAGUUCAUGUUGUCAAGAAGGUCAAUCCGUAAUUGAUUAUUACGGACGCCUGGUGGUGUUGUGGGAUGAGUUACAAAGUUAUCGCACAAUUCCCGUGUGUACGUGUGGAGCCGGUUCUCAAAUCGCAAAAGAGAGAGAGGAUGAAAAGGUGCAUCAGUUCUAUCGUGCCUCGGAUCAGAUCCACGGUGUCAUUCAUCUCUGACGCAGCUGAGUUGUGGGAAAGCUUGAGAAAAAGAUUUUUUGUUGGAAACAAAGUUCGAACCAUCAGAUUGUCUCUCUCAUAAGUUCAUGUCGUCAAGAAGGUCAAUCCGUAAUUGAUUAUUACGGACUCCUGGUGGUGUUGUGGGAAGAGUUGCAAAGUUAUCGCACAAUUCCCGUGUGUACGUGUGGAGCCGGUGCUCAAAUCGCAAAAGAGAGAGAGGAUGAAAAGGUGCAUCAGUUUGUCAUGGGGCUUGAUGAGUCUCGGUUUGGUAAAGUGAUUUGUUCAAUCAUUGAUGCCGAUUGAUAUGUCUAUAAUUUGCAUGAUUUAAGCAUUCAUUCUUCAUCACUUUGUCAUUGUUUCAAUCACAUUUCAUCUCAUUAGUAGUCGUUUUAGUGUGUUUUGCAUACUUAGGACGUUUUUGCAUUAGGAUUGCAUGUGCAUCGCAUAUUUGGUUGUUUUCAGGUACUUUGGAUGCUUUUGGAGUUCAAACAGAGGAGAAACAGAACAGAAAUUCAAAACGCUCAAUCACUCCCUCAGCCAAAGCACUCGAUCGCAACCUCGGAGCCCUGACAGAGCAAAGCACUCGAUCGCAACCCCAGAAACUGUCAUGAAGGGCAAAACCACUCGAUCACAACCCCGGAGCAAUUUCAGAAGAAACCACUCGAUCGCAAGAUCGAGCAGAAGCUGUCAUGAAGGAUAUAUCACUCGAUCACAACCCCGGAGAAGCCAGCAGCUCAGUUUCACUCGAUCGCAAGCCCGGAGGGAUCACCCACUCUACACCACUCGAUCACCACCUCACGUCAUCUACUCGAUCGCACCACUCGAUCGCAAUGUCGCUGGACCAUUCCAUCUCGUCUUCACUACAGACCACUCGAUCGCAAGACGGAGUUCCCGAAGCCCAGUUUGAUCAGUUUCACUCGAUCACAGGGAGGCCCAUUUCAGCCCAUCAGAUGCUCGAUCGCAGGGUCUCGAUGUGAAGACCACUAUCUCGAACUUUCCUUAUUUGAUUUUUUUUCGCUUAUAUAAGCAGCCUCUAAGGGUUUUCCCUAGGGCAUCCAGUCUUUUAUUUUCAGUUUUUACCUAGACUAGUUUUCGUAGCCGCAGUGUGUUCUUCCUGCGACUUUGUAUU
This 20478-nucleotide long non-coding RNA is filed under the name Arabidopsis lyrata. RNAcentral's name for it is "long non-coding RNA (ALYR_LNC003407)". Lineage: Eukaryota; Viridiplantae; Streptophyta; Magnoliopsida; Brassicales; Brassicaceae. The record is from RNAcentral.